CUCCCCCCUUUCCAUGCCAGGGCCUCCUCUGCUGCUCUGAAAUCAGCUGACCUUCUGGUGUAGAAACCUCAGCUAGCUCUGUGCUGGAAUGAUGUGGCAGAAGGUGAUUGGCUCAGUGGGGCCCUAAAAGGAGCUGCAGCCAAAGGGAUUCUGUAGAAGAGGCUGCUCCUCUGAAACACUUCUCAGCCCUGUUCCUCGCCAUCAGGCCACAGCCUUCUGAACCCUGAGCAGCCAUGUGCUACUCCAAGAUAUCCUUCAAAUAUCGAGAGAAAAUGAAGACUGAAGUGGUAAGAAGCUCUUCCCCAUGUAUAGAUAGGGUGUGGGUGGGGCCUGGGUUUGACUGUGGGAGGGUAACAAUGUUCUGGCCUUCCUGGGAUCCAGGAAGGAGAAGGAUCAGAUCUCUUUGUCCCAACUCUGUUUUUCCAGAACCAGGCUAUAGACAUAUUCUUUGAUGGGCUCAAUCCCGAAGAAGAGGACCAGGUCCAAGUAGGCAUAAAAAAGCUGGAGGACCGCUUCAACGAUGCCUUUGUUGAUACCGUAGUUGCUCACUGUGAGGACAACCAGGAAUGUGCUCCCUUACUUCCGGAACAGCAGCAGGAACUGCGGAACAGAAUCCGUAGUAAAGUCCAGGAACCAGGCUCGGAGCAGAAAUCUGAGCCGGAAGGAUCGAACAAUGAAAGUUCAGGGGCCCAGAAACCUGAGGAGAGCUUUGGGGAAUGGGUACUGAGGUUGUUCCGAGAGAUGCUAAAUCGACAGAAGAAGAUAUGGAAGGAUGUGCUGGCCUCAAUUUUUGCCUCCUUUGUCAAAGUGGCGAAGACCAUCUGGAGUGUAAUUGAGAGUUUCUUCUCUAGUGUGGCAAAGUGUUUCUCAAGUUUAUGCCAGGCCUAAGGAGUCCCAUGAGAUCCUGGAGGAGCUCAGCCACACCUCCCAGCCCUUUGAUUCCCCCGUUCCCAUAGAAUAUUUGCUUUCCUGCUCACCCCUGACCCAUCCUCCACAACCUCCCUCACGUCCACCCUGUUCACAGCCUCUCUUCCCAGCUUGCCUGGGUUUCCUUCUCUUGCUAUGGCGUUUUAAUAAAAGCUGGUUGGCCUUGGGAGGGGGCACAAGUGGGGUGGAGGAGGUCAAUGGGGAAAAAGGGAGAUCUGUAAUACUUUCAACAAUAAAGGUGAUUUGCUUCAAAA
Molecule: RNA transcript, 1181 nt
Organism: Pipistrellus kuhlii (Kuhl's pipistrelle)
Lineage: Eukaryota; Metazoa; Chordata; Mammalia; Chiroptera; Vespertilionidae
Gene: IL32
Gene name: interleukin 32
Exons: 6
Source: RefSeq, a predicted model, not a curated record